GCAGUCGUGGCCGAGUUGUUAAGGCGAUGAACUAGAAAUCCAUUGGGGUCUCCCCGCACAGGUUCGAAUCCUGUCGACUGCA
Molecule: transfer RNA, 82 nt
Filed under: Ixodes scapularis (black-legged tick)
Lineage: Eukaryota; Metazoa; Arthropoda; Arachnida; Ixodida; Ixodidae
Rfam family: tRNA
About the family: Transfer RNA (tRNA) molecules are approximately 80 nucleotides in length. Their secondary structure includes four short double-helical elements and three loops (D, anti-codon, and T loops). Further hydrogen bonds mediate the characteristic L-shaped molecular structure. tRNAs have two regions of fundamental functional importance: the anti-codon, which is responsible for specific mRNA codon recognition, and the 3' end, to which the tRNAs corresponding amino acid is attached (by aminoacyl-tRNA synthetases). tRNAs cope with the degeneracy of the genetic code in two manners: having more than one tRNA (with a specific anti-codon) for a particular amino acid; and 'wobble' base-pairing, i.e. permitting non-standard base-pairing at the 3rd anti-codon position.
Source: Rfam by way of RNAcentral